RNAcentral lists this ribosomal RNA (467 nucleotides) under uncultured bacterium. Its description in RNAcentral is "partial 16S ribosomal RNA". It matches the Rfam family "Bacterial small subunit ribosomal RNA", at positions 29 to 507 of the family's 1533-position model. The record is from RNAcentral.
ACGAACGCUGGCGGCGUGCUUAACACAUGCCAGUCGAACGGAAAGGCCCUGCUUUUGUGGGGUGCUCGAGUGGCGAACGGGUGAGUAACACGUGAGUAACCUGCCCUUGACUUUGGGAUAACUUCAGGAAACUGGGGCUAAUACCGGAUAGGAGCUCCUGCUGCAUGGUGGGGGGUGGAAAGUUUCGGCGGUUGGGGAUGGACUCGCGGCUUAUCAGCUUGUUGGUGGGGUAGUGGCUUACCAAGGCUUUGACGGGUAGCCGGCCUGGGAGGGUGACCGGCCACAUUGGGACUGAGAUACGGCCCAGACUCCUACGGGAGGCAGCAGUGGGGAAUAUUGCACAAUGGGCGGAAGCCUGAUGCAGCAACGCCGCGUGCGGGAUGACGGCCUUCGGGUUGUAAACCGCUUUCGCCUGUGACGAAGCGUGAGUGACGGUAAUGGGUAAAGAAGCACCGGCUAACUACGUG